RNAcentral lists this ribosomal RNA (253 nucleotides) under uncultured bacterium. RNAcentral describes it as "partial 16S ribosomal RNA". It matches the Rfam family "Bacterial small subunit ribosomal RNA", at positions 524 to 776 of the family's 1533-position model. The record is from RNAcentral.
UACGAGGGGUGCAAGCGUUGUUCGGAAUCAUUGGGCGUAAAGGGUGCGUAGACGGUUUGUUAAGUCUGUUGUUUAAUACCCCAGCCUAACUGGGGAAAUGCAAUAGAAACUGGCAUACUAGAGGGUGAGAGAGAGAAGUGGAAUUCCUGGAGUAGCGGUCAAAUGCGUAGAUCUCAGGAGGAACACCGAUGGCGAAGGCAGCUUCUUGGCUCAUACCUGACGUUGAUGCACGAAAGUGCGGGGAUCAAACAGG